RNAcentral lists this ribosomal RNA (403 nucleotides) under uncultured bacterium. Its description in RNAcentral is "partial 16S ribosomal RNA". It matches the Rfam family "Bacterial small subunit ribosomal RNA", at positions 28 to 526 of the family's 1533-position model. The record is from RNAcentral.
GACGAACGCUGGCGGCGUGCCUAAUACAUGCAAGUCGAACGCAGUGGGGACGGGUGAGUAACACGUGGGUAACCUCCCAUCAGAGGGGAUAACACUUGGAAACAGGUGCUAAACCGAUACUGAUGGAUGGACCCGCGGUGCAUUAGCUAGUUGGUGAGGUAACGGCUCACCAAGGCCACGAUGCAUAACCGGACUGGGAGGGUGGACCGCCAAAAUGGAGAAGAGGAACGGCCCAGACUCCUACGGGAGGCAGCAGGGGGGAAUCUUCGGCAAUGGACGAAAGUCUGACCGAGCAACGCCGCGUGAGUGAAGAAGGUUUUCGGAUCGUAAAACUCUGUUGUUAGAGAAGCGGUAUCUAACCAGAAAGCCACGGCUAACUACGUGCCAGCAGCCGCGGUAAUAC